RNAcentral lists this long non-coding RNA (951 nucleotides) under Ananas comosus (pineapple). Its description in RNAcentral is "long non-coding RNA (ACOM_LNC020363)". The record is from RNAcentral. Lineage: Eukaryota; Viridiplantae; Streptophyta; Magnoliopsida; Poales; Bromeliaceae.
UGAUAAAUUUCAUUGGUUAUGCAAAGUAAUUAAGGCUCGAUUUGCACGUUGAGAAAAUGCAAUAAAAAAAUAUUAUAUUUAUUUUCGCAUAUAAUAUCACGUUCUGUAUAUCGUGCUGAGUCAAUUACGACAUAUUUUCUAUCCUCUUAUUUAAAAUACGCACAUAUUUUUGUCUCAAAUUUAUUUUAUCUAUUAGCCUUAGAUGAAUCUCACUAACUUAAAAUCUGAACUCCGAAUCCUAGCUUGAAUCCGAAAAUCCGAACCGAACCAUUAUUCCUGUUUACAAUAUUUCAAAAUAUAUUAAAUUAAAUGUGAAUAUUUAAAAUACAUAUUCAAAUAUAAUAUCAAAUAUUUAUAUAUAUUAUAUAUAACGUAACAUAAGUUCAGGUACUAAUCGGUUUUGGAUUCGGAUCGGAUAUAAUCAAAAUUCAUAUCUGAAUUCAAAUUAUUCGGAUUUUCGUUUUUGAUAUCCAUAUCCAAAAGUAUAUACAUUUAGCAUAAGUAAAUUCACUGUAUUCGCUUUCGGGUUUGAAUUCCGAUUCGGAUAAAAGAGUAAUAAAAAAUUUCUUUUAUUUAAAUUUAAUUUUUUUAAAUUUAAAUAUUAAAUAUUUAAAUUUAACAUAUUUAGAAAUAUUAUUAUUUCUAAAAUUUAAAUUAAUGCUUAAAUUAAAAGAAUUCUAAAAUUUCUAAAAUUAAUGUCUAAAUUAGCACAAAAUUAAUGCCUAAAUUUGAGAUAUCAAUUAAACCUUAAAUUAAUGCUUAAAUUAGUGCAAAAUUAAUACUAAAUUUGAGAUAUCAAUCAAAACUUUUUAAAAAUUUUAUCUAGUUUAAUUAAAAAGCAUUCUCAUAUAAAAUAACCUUCUAACCUACUACAUAAUAACAUAAUUUUUUAUUCUUUAUUAAUCAAUAUUUUUUUUUGUUUUUUAUAAAAUAAAAUAUCGAAUCAUUUCU